CCUACGGGUGGCAGCAGUGAGGAAUAUUGGUCAAUGGACGAGAGUCUGAACCAGCCAAGUAGCGUGAAGGAUGACUGCCCUAUGGGUUGUCAACUUCUUUUAUAAAGGAAUAAAACGAGGCACGUGUGCCUUUUUGCAUGUACUUUAUGAAUAAGGAUCGGCUAACUCCGUGCCAGCCGCCGCGGUAAUACGGAGGAUCCGAGCGUUAUCCGGAUUUAUUGGGUUUAAAGGGAGCGUAGAUGGGUUGUUAAGUCAGUUGUGAAAGUUUGCGGCUCAACCGUAAAAGUGCAAUUGAUACUGGCAGUCUUGAGUACAGUUGAGGUAGGCGGAAUUCGUGGUGUAGCGGUGAAAUGCUUAGAUAUCACGAAGAACCCCGAUUGCGAAGGCAGCUUACUAAACUGUGACUGACAUUGAUGCUCGAAAGUGUGGGUAUCAAACAGGAUUAGAUACCCGAGUAGUC
Molecule: ribosomal RNA, 460 nt
Filed under: uncultured bacterium
Lineage: Bacteria
Description: partial 16S ribosomal RNA
Rfam family: Bacterial small subunit ribosomal RNA
Source: RNAcentral